GACGUAGGGCGCGAGCGUUGUCCGGAUUUAUUGGGCGUAAAGAGCUCGUAGGCGGCUUGUCGCGUCGACUGUGAAAACCCGCGGCUCAACUGCGGGCUUGCAGCCGAUACGGGCAUGCUAGAGUUCGGUAGGGGAGACUGGAAUUCCUGGUGUAGCGGCGAAAUGCGCAGAUAUCAGGAGGAACACCGGUGGCGAAGGCGGGUCUCUGGGCCGAUACUGACGCUGAGGAGCGAAAGCGUGGGGAGCGAACAGG
Molecule: ribosomal RNA, 253 nt
Filed under: uncultured bacterium
Lineage: Bacteria
Description: partial 16S ribosomal RNA
Rfam family: Bacterial small subunit ribosomal RNA
Source: RNAcentral